CACUUUCUUACAAGUGGGACCAGAUUAUAAGAGCAAAUAUUUUACACACACACCCCUUGAUCUAAACCACAAAAGCAAUCAGCCCCCCCACAUCCCGAGCAGAGACGCGCUGGGCGUCGGGUUCCUGGCCUCCACCGCGCUGCUUGGCCAGGGACGCCGGAGCGACGCGCUGGGCGGAGCGGCCGGCCAUCUCCGCAACCACGAGGGCCAGCAGUGCACGGAGGGGCGGCUGCGCGCCAGUUGCCGGCGGAGAGGCUCUUGUCGCCGGAGGCGACGGAAGACGGCGGCGGCCGGCAGGACGACGUGCGGGAGGCGGCGCCGCCGCCGCCCCGCAGGUUCCGCGGUGGCUGCGUGUCGACCACGGAGUUCAACGUUUCCACGCACAAAAGCUCGCCGGCGCCAAGUUCUUCCGCAAGGAGCUCGUUUCCUCCUCCUCCCCCUCGCUCCCUGGCGUCGGCGCCGGCCUCCCAAUCCCCGCUCCUUGGCCCGCGUUGGCGUGGUGACUGGUGAGGGAGGGCCCCUUGCCGCGGCCGGAGCUCAAGCCGCCGCCGCCCUUGCUGCUCACCUGCAUCGGCGCCGGCUAGGUGACGGGGAGGCACACCGGAUGGACGCGAGUAGCUAUGCCCGCCGCACGGCGCGAGCAGGAGUGGCGUCGGCCACGCUCACCGUCCAUCCCGUCCUCACGCCACGUUUCCCCCGGCUCUCAGUGGUGGCAGCCCGGAGAGGAAGUGGCCGGCGGCGUCCACCGCCGGACCAGUGGGAGGCGUUCAGAGCGGGAGCUGGGGAUCAAAUCGAUCGGGAGCAGGGGAUCAGAUCAAGAACAGGGGCUUGAUUGCUUUUUGUUUUUAGAUCCAGGGAUGUGUAUGUAAUUUGUUUGACAAGUCAGCUUCUUAGAGUCCGGUCCCACCUGUCAGAAAAUGAUUAAAUGGGCUAAAUCACCUGAUCAGUGCAUUUUGCAGAAGGUUUACUAGAAACGCGGUGAUUUUUGCACAAAAUUAGUGACUAGGUGGUUUUCUUCAAUCGAUGCCUUAAAUGUGGUGGUUUUCUGCAAUUAACUCCUGCAUUUGAUGUUCAGUAAUAGGUACUUACACAUUCAAAAAAAUUAUCUUAUCUGUAAGGCCUUCACUCAGAGUUGCUUCUGUUAGAAUGAUGAUUAUAUUGUUAAAUCAUCCAGAUAGUUCAUGUUAUUCAUCAUAGCUAAUUUCAAUAUUUCUAGGCUCUGUUUUCUGCUUUAUGUUCUGUUUUUUCCUGUGUGUGAAUGUCUGCACCUGUUGUUUUACUAAUAAGUUUAUAUAAUUGUACAACAGUUUCUUACACAUGCAAAUUUAUUGAAGCAAUACACUCUUACAAAAUCUGAAGUAAUAUGCUAUACUGGGCUUAGAUUGCAGAUGUCAUGACUGUACAAGUAGUAUUGUGGACCUGGUAUUGGAAACACCUGGAAAGCCUGAAUACUUAUUUGCAUAUUCAGUUCUAUUUCUGAUGACAAAUGGGGCUAAACCUUUUUUUUUGUCCUGAAAUACCUUUAGGGCUUUUCUAGUGACUUACUUGCGUAUUCAGUUUUUUCGUAUUGUUUGUUUAGCGAGUAAAAUUGGAUGCAUCGUUUAGAACAGGAAUUUUAAUUCCUAAUUUCUUUUCAGGUCACCUCCGCUGGCAGAUAUAACAUUCCGUAAUUUUGUACUGUACACAAAAAACGAAAAAUGGGGUGCUUUGGGCAGCUAAGGCUCUUAAAUUUGGUCAUAGAUGGACUGUAGGAAAAGGGACCAAGAUCAGGUUUUGGGAGGACAAUUGGUUUGGCGCCUCCCCUUUAUCUGUUCAAUUUUGGCCUCUAUAUUCUAUUUGUCACCAACAGUGUGUGCCUGUAGCUGAUGUUUGGGAUGGUCAAAACGUCAAACUUACUUUUCGUAGGAUCUUUAACCCUGCCAUGAUGGAAGAUCGGUACUGCCUAGAGCAGAUCAUCUUGGGAAUUACCUAUACUGAUUGUGAAGAUGCUCUCAUUUGGCAAUAUGAAGCUAAAGGCAAAUAUACUACUGGUUCCCUCUACAGUAUUAUUAACUUUAGAGGGGUUAAACCUAUCUUUAUUCCCUCAAUUUGGUCUAUUGUGGUGCCCCCAAGAGUGCAGGUUUUCUUAUGGCUUUUAUCCCACAAUAAACUUAUGACAAAAGACAAUCUCAGUAAGAGGGGGAUUGAAAACCCUCCUGAGUGUGUCUUCUGUUCAGAACAAGAAACUAUUACACAACUUUUCUUUGAUUGUGUGGUCGCUAAAAACAUGUGGCAACACAUCUCCAAUUUCUUUGGAAUUAGUCUGGGAGAUGACUUCCUUUCAAUUGCCAGAUACUGGCCUGCUAGUAAGAAUCACGCUGCUAUUAAUUCUGUCUGUGCAUGUGCUUUAUGGAGUAUAUGGAAGAUUGGAAAUACCCAUAUCUUCAAAAAUGCCAUGUGGACUGACAUGAAUAGAGUUUGGUGUAUGAUAGAGGUGACUAUCAGGCGGUGGAUGAUCCUUUUCAAAAAACAUCAUUUGGAGGGGGUGAAAAAAAAUCUCCAAUAUGAUAAAUCAGCUCAUACAAAGUUACUAACCCCCUUCAGGCUGGGGGUGGGCUGAUCUAGUGACGCAGCUGGGCAAUGCAUAGGGGCUGGAGAGGUCAAUGCUCAACAAGCUGUCGCUGGUUUCAAAACCUGCAGAUGGCAAGGAACCUUCCUCUCCUCCCAGAAGAGAUUGGAACCUCAAGCAUGUGGUGUCCAGCCCAACUACGCCGCUAGAUCUUACUGCUUCUCCAACACAAUCCCCUCUGAAGAAGAAGAAGGGGGCUGAAACAGUCUGGAAAUGAAGAUGGAUUUCGGCUAUGAACCUAACUCCAUUCCAAUCGUUUCCUUGAUUGUCAUCUUUCUUGUUUUUAAUUUAGCUUUAGUUUUUGCUUUUCAAUCUGCUCAGGCUGUGGCCUUAUGAGCUGUAAUAAUCAGUAGAACUUUGCUAGAUGUUUUUAGUUUUCCCUUUGGACGCGCUGUAGGUGCUUUUGUUCUCUCUAUCUCUGGUUUCGUUAAAGCAAUGGAACCGCGGGGGAGGGGGGGCUUUGGCCCUCCUAGUAGUCUAAAAAAACGAAAAAUGGCAGGUAUUCUUGCUAGAUUAAAGUUGCACUUGAACUUGUAAAAUCAUUGUUUUCAGCCACUUGAUUGAAAUAUCAUUUAUAUAGGUUGUAAAUUUGAAAGAAGCAAGGGAUUUCUCCAGCAGCACAGGAUUCAUUUAUGCUUUCAUCGUUUGAUACUCUCCUAGUUUAUCCGAGCAAAUAAAUGUCUUCUUGUGCUGUUACCUAAUGUACUAGGACAUAAUCAAUGAAGAAUAGUAUACAUAGUUUCUGAUCUCCCAUAUUUUUUGUUUAAAUUCACAGAAAUUGGAAUGGCAGUUACUUUCAGUUGAUCUUUUACCCAACCCUGACUUGGGGCUGUUGUUACUACUGCCGCUGGUCUUGGUGAGGCUCAUAACACAUAUUCAACAUUCAUUUCGGCUUUUGGCAACAGCCAAACAAAUGACUCAUUUCAGUCAACGGCGUGGGAUAUCAAUGUUCUCGUGGACUCUAUCAAUGAAAUUGCCACACGAACAAAUUGGACAAGUGUAAUGGAAAACCUGGACCACGAGGGUUUCAGUAUCCCUGAUGAAGGGGCUUUCCGUCUAUUGAUGUCUAUAUAUUCUCGGGCUUGCAAGGUAUUUCCAGACUUGGCUAAUCAUAUCCAAGGCAAUCAGGCUUGGUACUGCCUAGACCUUUUGGAGGUGUUAUGCCAGCUUGCUGACCUUGGCUAUGCAACAUUAGUGCGACCGCUGCUGGACUACCCACUCAGUCAUUGUCCAAACGUCUUACUUCUUGGCGUUAGCCAAAUCAAUACUGCAUACAAUCUCCUCCAUUAUGAAGUAUUGUCAUGUGUAUUCCCUGCUUUAUUGAAGGACAGUAAAAAUAGCAGUCUAAUGAACUAUCCCUGGCAUCUCAACCCUUCCCUUACUCUCCGAGGAUUUGUUGAUGCUCAUUCUGAUAUAAUUUGUCUUUUGAGAACUAUUGAUAUAUGUCAAGACCUAAAGUCAAGAUAACAAGCGAGGAGAUGAUGGUGCAAAGCAAAUGUUCUUUGGCGGUGAAAAGUUUUUGGCAGGAAUAUCAGGGGAUUCUAAUAAGCAACAGGAUCUUCCAUGGUAAACAGAGUUCCUUUGCAUUGAAGAUGCUGAGUUUUAGCCUGAACUUCUAAUGCAAUCACUGUUCUUCUCAUGGCAUUUCAGACAGGGAGAGUUAAAAAAACUUGUCUUGCAUAAAGGUUGCUGGGCUGUUUCUGAGGACAUGAUGGUAGUCCAGGAGAAGGCCUCUUGAGAGGACUGAAUGAUUUAUCUUGUGGUCCACUUGGGAAACUUUUCACACCAUCUCACGUCACUGACAAGGAAGAAGGAAGAUCCGAAGACAAUGACAGCAAUUCAACGUUUGAUCUUGGGGUGCCAGAUGAUCUUGUUGUGUCAGUUCUGUUAAGAAACUGGUUGUUCGCACUUGAAGGGACAAAAGAAGCACGGGAUUGGUCUUCCCCUCGUAGUGGUGAUCCUAUUGGUAGGGAUGAUAAAUGCUGGCAUAAACCUUCAGGAAUCUGCACGUGUCAGCCAAUAGUAGUGACCGACCUAACUUGGGAGGUGCAGAGAAGGUGCUGGAUGAAAGAACAUUUCCAGUGGAGCGAUUUACGGCUGGAAUUGAAGGUUUACAGGCAAUAAGACCUCGCUUGAGAAAUCAAUUCAUUGGAAUGGAAAAUUAAAUAAAGAUCAAUUAGGCGGUGGGAAACUGGGAAUGCAAAGUGGAUGAUGGAUAAUGUAAAGUUCUCAGUUAAAGAACCGAUUGAGGCCGUGGCAAAAAAAGAAGAGCUGGAGCACCUUUUCCAUGAUUUGCAGAUCUGAAGGUGAUGCAACGGGGAGGACCACUGUUGGAAUUCUCGGGCCCCUUAAGUUUGAUAAGUCUCUUAGCCAGGGAACCAUCAAAUAGCUGAGGAACCUAGGAACUGGAGGUAUGGACAACAUUUUUUCAACUAGCAGGCCCGGCAGGUGGAACAAUUUUCAGAACAGUGUCGGCACCCCUAGGACUCCUGGGACUCCAGUGUUUCACGCAGUCUCAAAUGCGGCGUCCAAAGAGGCCCUGGAAGCGACAAUCACCUCGCUACAGAGUGGCAUUUCUGAAUCGAAGGCCAGAUGUGCGUCCCUGCGGGGAAGAUGAGAGCCGUGCCAAGGACAUCAGGCAGCUGACCGACAAGCUGGAAAAUAUGCAGUCCCCGGUGACACGAAUCAGAGCCUUGAUCUGAGUUGUACAUUGGUUUAUUCUUUGUGUACAGGCUGGGCAUUGGUACAAAACCGGGGAGCGGCUAAUGCCAUACCUCCCUUGCGGAUUAUUUCUCUUCUGUGUGCAUCUAUUACACGUUCCUUGCAGCCUGUUUGGUAGUUUGAGGGAAAGGGAAUGGGAGUUUAUAAAAGGGAGUUUGUAAGGGAUUGGAAUUGGGAAGUGGACUAUUAGUCCUAAUCCCACAUUUGGUGCUGGUUGAGAAUUGCUUGUGGGAAUUUGAUAAGAAAUUAAUCUUUAAAUAAAUAAAUCAUAUACUCCCUCUUGUCAA
This is a long non-coding RNA of Triticum dicoccoides, 5616 nucleotides long. RefSeq lists it as uncharacterized. The transcript is spliced from 13 exons. Lineage: Eukaryota; Viridiplantae; Streptophyta; Magnoliopsida; Poales; Poaceae. The record is from RefSeq and is a predicted model, not a curated record.